This 253-nucleotide ribosomal RNA is filed under the name uncultured bacterium. Its description in RNAcentral is "partial 16S ribosomal RNA". It matches the Rfam family "Bacterial small subunit ribosomal RNA", at positions 524 to 776 of the family's 1533-position model. The record is from RNAcentral.
GACAGAGGUGCCAAGCGUUAGGCGGAAUCACUGGGCUUAAAGCGUGUGUAGGCGGAAUUGUAAGUACCUUGUGAAAUCCCGGGGCUCAACCUCGGAACUGCCUUUGAUACUGUCAGUCUAGAGUCCGGAAGAGGUGGGUGGAAUUCCUAGUGUAGAGGUGAAAUUCGCAGAUAUUAGGAAGAACACCGGUGGCGAAGGCGGCCCACUGGUCCGGUACUGACGCUGAGGUGCGAAAGCGUGGGGAGCAAACAGG